Molecule: transfer RNA, 98 nt
Filed under: Hypsizygus marmoreus
Lineage: Eukaryota; Fungi; Basidiomycota; Agaricomycetes; Agaricales; Lyophyllaceae
Rfam family: tRNA
About the family: Transfer RNA (tRNA) molecules are approximately 80 nucleotides in length. Their secondary structure includes four short double-helical elements and three loops (D, anti-codon, and T loops).
Source: Rfam by way of RNAcentral
GCCCGCCUAGCUCAAUCGGAUAGAGCGUCAGACUUUUACGGUCUCCCUAAGGGCGGAGUGUAAUCUGAAGGCUGCGAGUUCGACCCUCGCGGUGGGCU